Molecule: ribosomal RNA, 253 nt
Filed under: uncultured bacterium
Lineage: Bacteria
Description: partial 16S ribosomal RNA
Rfam family: Bacterial small subunit ribosomal RNA
Source: RNAcentral
UACGAAGGGGGCUAGCGUUGCUCGGAAUCACUGGGCGUAAAGCGCACGUAGGCGGCUUCUUAAGUCAGGGGUGAAAUCCUGGAGCUCAACUCCAGAACUGCCUUUGAUACUGAAGAUCUUGAGUUCGGGAGAGGUGAGUGGAACUGCGAGUGUAGAGGUGAAAUUCGUAGAUAUUCGCAAGAACACCAGUGGCGAAGGCGGCUCACUGGCCCGAUACUGACGCUGAGGCACGAAAGCGUGGGGAGCAAACAGG